GGUUACAGCUUCUUCAAAGUCAUCCUCAUAUUGCCCUUGGUGCAGCACUGGGUCUGUUAUGUUUGAUUGGUGUCGUAGCUGGGCUUAUCGCUUGGUUUCGUCGCAGGAAUGAGGGUUUCGCUUUCAGUACUUCAAGGCUGACGAUGAUGACAAUGUUGGCCUGAAACCAGAGGACAAUCCUGCUCUGGUCUCAGUACCGAAUCCACUGUAUGGUGCAUAUGGUACAGUUUCAGAUAAUACAACUGAACCCUUUGAGGAUGACGAUGAAUACGAAUCUUAUCAUACACGCAGAACAUUCUAGAAGACUGAGAAGCUGGACCUCACUGCUUUUUACUGUCAGCUCAAAUUGUGCAAUUUUAUUGCAGCUUGUGAUGAUGCUAUGGAUGGGGG
This is a long non-coding RNA of Pristis pectinata (smalltooth sawfish), 390 nucleotides long. RefSeq lists it as uncharacterized. The record is from RefSeq and is a predicted model, not a curated record. The transcript is spliced from 3 exons. Lineage: Eukaryota; Metazoa; Chordata; Chondrichthyes; Rhinopristiformes; Pristidae.